ACGAACGCUGGCGGCAUGCCUAACACAUGCAAGUCGAACGAGACCUUCGGGUCUAGUGGCGCACGGGUGCGUAACGCGUGGGAACCUGCCCUUAGGUUCGGAAUAACUCCCCGAAAGGGGUGCUAAUACCGGAUAAUGUCUUCGGACCAAAGAUUUAUCGCCUUUGGAUGGGCCCGCGUUGGAUUAGCUAGUUGGUAGGGUAAAAGCCUACCAAGGCGACGAUCCAUAGCUGGUCUGAGAGGAUGAUCAGCCACACUGGGACUAAGACACGGCCCAGACUCCUACGGGAGGCAGCAGUGGGGAAUAUUGGACAAUGGGCGAAAGCCUGAUCCAGCAAUGCCGCGUGAGUGAUGAAGGCCUUAGGGUUGUAAAGCUCUUUUACCCGGGAUGAUAAUGACAGUACCGGGAGAAUAAGCUCCGGCUAACUCCGUG
This 432-nucleotide ribosomal RNA is filed under the name uncultured bacterium. Its description in RNAcentral is "partial 16S ribosomal RNA". It matches the Rfam family "Bacterial small subunit ribosomal RNA", at positions 29 to 507 of the family's 1533-position model. The record is from RNAcentral.